RNAcentral lists this ribosomal RNA (499 nucleotides) under uncultured bacterium. RNAcentral's name for it is "bacterial SSU rRNA". It matches the Rfam family "Bacterial small subunit ribosomal RNA", at positions 30 to 504 of the family's 1533-position model. The record is from RNAcentral.
CGAACGCUGGCGGCGUGCUUAACACAUGCAAGUCGAACGCGAACGUUUCCUUCGGGGAACUAGUAGAGUGGCGCACGGGUGAGUAACGCGUAAGUAAUCUACCCUCGCAUCCGGGAUAACCCACCGAAAGGUGUGCUAAUACCGGAUACGUCUGGACUUAUACAUUGAAUUCAGAGAAAGGUGGCCUCUUCAUGAAAGCUACUGUGCGGGGAGGAGCUUGCGUACCAUUAGCUAGUUGGUAGGGUAAGGGCCUACCAAGGCGAUGAUGGUUAGCGGGUCUGAGAGGAUGAUCCGCCACACUGGAACUGGAACACGGACCAGACUCCUACGGGAGGCAGCAGUGAGGAAUAUUGCGCAAUGGGGGCAACCCUGACGCAGCGACGCCGCGUGGAUGAUGAAGGCCUUCGGGUUGUAAAAUCCUGUCAGAUGGGAAGAAGUGCAUCAUGUCUAAUACAUAUGGUGUUUGACGGUACCAUCAAAGGAAGCACCGGCUAACUCC